RNAcentral lists this ribosomal RNA (447 nucleotides) under uncultured bacterium. RNAcentral describes it as "bacterial SSU rRNA". It matches the Rfam family "Bacterial small subunit ribosomal RNA", at positions 328 to 792 of the family's 1533-position model. The record is from RNAcentral.
CUUCCAGACUCCUACGGGAGGCAGCAGUAGGGAAUCUUUCACAAUGGGCGAAAGCCUGAUGGAGCAACGCCGCGUGCAGGAUGAAGGCCUUCGGGUUGUAAACUGCUUUUAUAAGCGAGAAAUAUGAUGGUAACUUAUGAAUAAGGAUCGGCUAACUACGUGCCAGCAGCCGCGGUAAUACGUAGGGGGCAAGCGUUAUCCGGAUUCACUGGGUGUAAAGGGAGCGUAGACGGCGACGCAAGUCUGGAGUGAAAGCCCGGGGCCCAACCCCGGGACUGCUCUGGAAACUGCGGCGCUGGAGUACGGGAGGGGCAGGCGGAAUUCCUGGUGUAGCGGUGAAAUGCGUAGAUAUCAGGAGGAACACCGGUGGCGGAGGCGGCCUGCUGGACUGCAACUGACGUUGAGGCCCGAAAGCGUGGGGAGCAAACAGGAUUAGAUACCCGAGUA